GAGGAUACUCUGGAGUUAGGUUUUAACUAGAGUAUCUUUGGAAGAGGCUAGAAAUAUGAACGCUAAAUUUAGUAUUUACGCUAAAAAUAGGGAAGGUGUCGCAACAGUAGAUCUAGA
RNAcentral lists this small RNA (117 nucleotides) under Saccharolobus islandicus REY15A. RNAcentral describes it as "Sulfolobus islandicus REY15A non-coding RNA". Lineage: Archaea; Thermoproteati; Thermoproteota; Thermoprotei; Sulfolobales; Sulfolobaceae. The record is from RNAcentral.